Molecule: ribosomal RNA, 254 nt
Filed under: uncultured bacterium
Lineage: Bacteria
Description: partial 16S ribosomal RNA
Rfam family: Bacterial small subunit ribosomal RNA
Source: RNAcentral
UACAGAGGGUGCAAGCGUUGCUCGGAAUCAUUGGGCGUAAAGGGUAGGUAGGUGGUCUCGUUUGUCUGGGGUGAAAGCCCAGGGCUUAACCCUGGAAGUGCCCCGGAAACGGCGAGACUGGAGUAUUGGAGAGGGUCGUGGAAUUCCCGGUGUAGCGGUGAAAUGCGUAGAUAUCGAGAGGAACACCUGCGGCGAAGGCGGGUUGCUGGGCUGACACUGACGCUGACAGCGCGAAAGCUAGGGGAGCGAACGGG